GGGCACCACCAGGGGGUGCAGCUGCGGCUUAUUUGACUCAACACGGGAAAUCUCACCAGGCCCGGACACCGGAAGGAUUCACAGAUUAACAGCUCUUUCUUGAUUCGGUGGGUGGUGGUGCAUGGCCGUUCUUAGUUGGUGGAGCGAUUUGUCUGGUUAAUUCCGGUAACGAACGAGACUCUAGCCUGCUAAAUAGGCGUCGUCAUUUAGGUGUGCUCGACUUCGGUCGUGCAACUCACUGGCGACGUAUUAAAAUUCUUCUUAGAGGGACCGGUGGCUUCGAGCCACACGAGAUUGAGCAAUAACAGGUCUGUGAUGCCCUUAGAUGUCCUGGGCCGCACGCGCGCUACACUGAAGGAAUCA
RNAcentral lists this ribosomal RNA (363 nucleotides) under Tapena vasava (tawny angle). RNAcentral's name for it is "SSU rRNA". It matches the Rfam family "Eukaryotic small subunit ribosomal RNA", at positions 1162 to 1514 of the family's 1831-position model. The record is from RNAcentral. Lineage: Eukaryota; Metazoa; Arthropoda; Insecta; Lepidoptera; Hesperiidae. RNAcentral also lists the same sequence under 3 other names.